RNAcentral lists this transfer RNA (76 nucleotides) under Rhizobium rosettiformans W3. RNAcentral's name for it is "tRNA-Thr". It matches the Rfam family "tRNA". Rfam says of the family: Transfer RNA (tRNA) molecules are approximately 80 nucleotides in length. Their secondary structure includes four short double-helical elements and three loops (D, anti-codon, and T loops). Further hydrogen bonds mediate the characteristic L-shaped molecular structure. tRNAs have two regions of fundamental functional importance: the anti-codon, which is responsible for specific mRNA codon recognition, and the 3' end, to which the tRNAs corresponding amino acid is attached (by aminoacyl-tRNA synthetases). tRNAs cope with the degeneracy of the genetic code in two manners: having more than one tRNA (with a specific anti-codon) for a particular amino acid; and 'wobble' base-pairing, i.e. permitting non-standard base-pairing at the 3rd anti-codon position. Lineage: Bacteria; Pseudomonadati; Pseudomonadota; Alphaproteobacteria; Hyphomicrobiales; Rhizobiaceae. RNAcentral also lists the same sequence under 1 other name. The record is from RNAcentral.
GCCCUUGUAGCUCAGUGGUAGAGCAGCUGCCUUGUAAACAGCAGGUCGACAGUUCGAUUCUGGUCCAAGGGCACCA